GGUGCUGUGGCUUAGUUGGUUUAAGCGUCUGUCUUGUAAACAGAAGAUCCCGAGUUCAACUCUCAGCAGUGCUU
Molecule: transfer RNA, 74 nt
Filed under: Xenopus laevis (African clawed frog)
Lineage: Eukaryota; Metazoa; Chordata; Amphibia; Anura; Pipidae
Rfam family: tRNA
About the family: Transfer RNA (tRNA) molecules are approximately 80 nucleotides in length. Their secondary structure includes four short double-helical elements and three loops (D, anti-codon, and T loops).
Source: Rfam by way of RNAcentral